GCGCUGGUGACAGGCCUGCGGGCCUCCAGCGGCGGAGUUGAAAAUGGGGGUCAGCGGGGGACCGAAAGGCCUGGAAUUCAAAGAGAUCUUCACUGGCCUCAGAACAUACCUCCCCAGCCUGUUCUUCAACAGGGCGGAGAAAGCGGUGGUGCAUGGCAGUGCCAGACCCUUUUCGUCUCAUCUUGAGGUGAGAAGUCUCCCCCCAGGGAAGGGAAUCAGGAGCACAAAAAGGAACUGGACGGAAAGCACAUUGUGACUGCCAGAGCCUUGGGGGAGUGGCAAACACGGAGCACCUGCUUAACGGGUCCAAGGUCAUGAAAAGGUUUGGAGAAAGCUAGCAAUGGCCACAUAGUGUUAUGAAUGUACUUAUUACCACUAAGCGGUACCCUUUUAAAUGGUUAAAAUGGUAAAUUUGAUGUUAUAUGCACUUUACCAUAAUCUAAAAAAGUAAAAAUGAAAGAAAAAAAACCACUCAUGAAUGCCUCCUAAAGACCUGGAGCCAUGGCAAACAUACACUGGUUGCAUUCAGCGUGCAGAGGGACGGAAGUGUAAAUCAGACUACGUGACAACUUCAAGAGGGAUCUCCAAAUCGUUUCUAUCAGAAAGCUCCUCUGUGGGAGUAAUAAGACAAUUGGCAGGCACUCAGCCACCACCCCACUAGGCCCUGCCCCCACAACCUUCAAGAAAGAAGCACUCAAAUACCAACAAGACGUAUUUCAAAUAGUUUAAUUUUAAAAAUAUUCUAUUCAGUGCUAAAAUAUGUCUUCACUCACUGUUGCCCAUUUCCAUUUUCUUAAACUUUUUUGAACAAAAAAUAAAAUCACAAAGUUCAAUUAAACAUGCAGAUUUCAAAGAAGAGGGAACUUUCUAGAAAGUCUGAGCUGAAGGAGUACUGUGGGGGAUGGGUACUGUUGGCAGAACCUCAAAUCCUUGCUGGGGCAGAGUCUGUGGCAAGAGGCAGGGGAUGUUGGAAUGAAA
Panthera uncia (snow leopard) is the source of this 978-nucleotide long non-coding RNA. RefSeq lists it as uncharacterized. The record is from RefSeq and is a predicted model, not a curated record. NCBI's taxonomy places the organism in Eukaryota, Metazoa, Chordata, Mammalia, Carnivora, Felidae. The transcript has 3 exons.